UCGAUUAUCUUUAUAUAUAUAUAUAUAUAGAGAGAGUUGAGCUAGAAUACUCUCAAAAGCAGCAAGGGGAUGGUACUUUUGAGUUUUUUAACCAUUGGAUUGAGAGAUGUAGGAUUGAGAUGAUAGUGGCAGGUGGUGGUAGGUAGAAUAGUGUUUGACCCAAGGGGUAUUAGUAAUUAAGGAGUAGAUCCAAGGGCUAAAAACUUAGAAGUAUCAAGGGGUUGUGCUUCUAAAAGUAUUCUAACUCAAUUAUAUAUAUAUAUAGAGUCCAGCUACUAUACUAUCAGUAGUACGGGGCCUCCCGUGCUACCAAGUUGUUUUUGAUGAUGCGGCUUCCAAAUCGACGAUCGGCUCCAUUAGACUUGAUCUACAAUAUUAAAAGUAUUUGGAAACUAAAUUUCAUAAUUUUUCGAUAUUAUUUGACUAGUGAUUAAAAGAUCUCAAAAUUAA
RNAcentral lists this long non-coding RNA (450 nucleotides) under Ananas comosus (pineapple). Its description in RNAcentral is "long non-coding RNA (ACOM_LNC039476)". The record is from RNAcentral. Lineage: Eukaryota; Viridiplantae; Streptophyta; Magnoliopsida; Poales; Bromeliaceae.